This 95-nucleotide small nuclear RNA is filed under the name Octodon degus (degu). Lineage: Eukaryota; Metazoa; Chordata; Mammalia; Rodentia; Octodontidae. The record is from RNAcentral.
UUGCUUUAGCAGCACAUACACUAAAAUGGGGAUGAUACAGAGAUUAGCAUGGACCCUGCUCAGGGAUGCAAAUUUGUGAAUCAUUUCAUGUUUUU